AUACGGAGGGUGCGAGCGUUGUUCGGAAUUAUUGGGCGUAAAGAGCAUGUAGGCGGUCUGUUAAGUCUGGUGUGAAAGCCCGGGGCUCAACCCCGGAAGUGCAUUUGAUACUGGCAGACGUGAGUAUGGGAGAGGAAAGCGGAAUUCCGAGUGUAGGAGUGAAAUCCGUAGAUAUUCGGAGGAACACCAGUGGCGAAGGCGGCUUUCUGGACCAAUACUGACGCUGAGAUGCGAAAGCGUGGGGAGCAAACAGGAUUAGAAACCCUGGUAGUCC
This 274-nucleotide ribosomal RNA is filed under the name uncultured bacterium. RNAcentral describes it as "partial 16S ribosomal RNA". It matches the Rfam family "Bacterial small subunit ribosomal RNA", at positions 523 to 796 of the family's 1533-position model. The record is from RNAcentral.